RNAcentral lists this ribosomal RNA (250 nucleotides) under uncultured bacterium. RNAcentral describes it as "partial 16S ribosomal RNA". It matches the Rfam family "Bacterial small subunit ribosomal RNA", at positions 524 to 773 of the family's 1533-position model. The record is from RNAcentral.
UACGUAGGGGGCGAGCGUUGUCCGGAAUAAUUGGGCGUAAAGGGCGCGUAGGCGGCCAGACAAGUCAGUAGUGGAAGUCCCAUUUUCAAGGUGGGGAGGGCUAUUGAAACUGUAGGGCUUGAGUGCAGGAGAGGUUAUCGGAAUUCCCGGUGUAGCGGUGAAAUGCGUAGAGAUCGGGAGGAACAUCAGUGGCGAAGGCGGGUAACUGGACUGCAACUGACGCUGAGGCGCGAAAGUGUGGGGAGCAAAC